GGUCCCCUUAAAUAUGGGAUAUAGACGAGUGUGGCUUUUUCUAAGCCUUAGCACGCUUGUAUUCCCUCUAUCAAAGGGCAAAUUGAGUCACGAUUUAGGUCUCCCCGUACCCAUCUUGCUUGCAUUCCCUAGGCUCAUGCAUUCUCAAUCCACUCUAUCAUUACACUUUCACUUUUGUCUCAUUUGCACACAUGCACCUUUUUAUCACCUUCACUUGCACACGAACA
This 227-nucleotide long non-coding RNA is filed under the name Coffea arabica (coffee). RNAcentral's name for it is "long non-coding RNA (CARA_LNC004638)". Lineage: Eukaryota; Viridiplantae; Streptophyta; Magnoliopsida; Gentianales; Rubiaceae. The record is from RNAcentral.